CGGAGGGUGCAAGCGUUAUCCGGAUUCACUGGGUUUAAAGGGUGCGUAGGUGGGUUGGUAAGUCAGUGGUGAAAUCCCCCGAGCUUAAACUUGGGAACUGCCAUUGAUACUAUCAGUCUUGAAUACCGUGGAGGUCAGCGGAAUAUGUCAUGUAGCGGUGAAAUCCUUAGAUGUGACAUAGAACACCAAUUGCGAAGGCAGCUGACUACACGAAUAUUGACACUGAGGCACGAAAGCGUGGGGAUCAAUCAGGAUUAGAUACCCUGGUAGUCCACGCCCUAAACUAUGGAUACUCGACAUACGCGAUACACUGUGUGUGUCUGAGCGAAAGCAUUAAGUAUCCCACCUGGGAAGUACGAUCGCAAGAUUG
RNAcentral lists this ribosomal RNA (370 nucleotides) under uncultured organism. Its description in RNAcentral is "bacterial SSU rRNA". It matches the Rfam family "Bacterial small subunit ribosomal RNA", at positions 526 to 896 of the family's 1533-position model. The record is from RNAcentral.